This 27-nucleotide non-coding RNA is filed under the name Homo sapiens (human). Lineage: Eukaryota; Metazoa; Chordata; Mammalia; Primates; Hominidae. The record is from RNAcentral.
UGCAAAGCCUAAUGGUGCUAUGAGAGU